Molecule: long non-coding RNA, 367 nt
Organism: Magnolia sinica
Lineage: Eukaryota; Viridiplantae; Streptophyta; Magnoliopsida; Magnoliales; Magnoliaceae
Exons: 2
Source: RefSeq, a predicted model, not a curated record
CUCUCUCUCUCUCUCUCUCUCUCUCUCUCUCUCUCUCUCUCUCUCUCUCUCUCUCUCUCAAAACCCUAGUCCUCUCUCUCUCUCUAUCUCAUCGGCCCUCUGCUGCAGUUCGGCCUUCCGCUGCUCGUGAGUCUCCGAUUCUUAGUUCUUGGAAGAGUUCGAGUGGCUGUAAGACUACGACCUCAGAAUGCAGAGGAGUUGGUUGCAGAUGCUGAUUUUGCUGAUUGUGUAGAAUUGCAGCCAGAGGUUUUUCUAAUUGCACUUCUCUUUUGUUUGUAAUUGCAUAUGCCUAAAUUUACACCAGAUGUGCAGUGUGUAAUGCUUUCCAAAAAUAAAUGAGAAAUGUAAGUCAAUCCAUGGGCACCAA